This 253-nucleotide ribosomal RNA is filed under the name uncultured prokaryote. Its description in RNAcentral is "partial 16S ribosomal RNA". It matches the Rfam family "Bacterial small subunit ribosomal RNA", at positions 524 to 776 of the family's 1533-position model. The record is from RNAcentral.
UACGGAGGGUGCAAACGUUGCUCGGAAUUAUUGGGCGUAAAGCGCACGUAGGCGGCUUGUUAAGUCGGAUGUGAAAGCCCUCGGCUCAACUGAGGAAGUGCAUUCGAAACUGGCGAGCUUGAAUAUGGAAGAGGGUCGCGGAAUUCCCGGUGUAGAGGUGAAAUUCGUAGAUAUCGGGAGGAACACCAGUGGCGAAGGCGGCGACCUGGGCCAAUAUUGACGCUGAGGUGCGAAAGCGUGGGGAGCAAACAGG